UGAGGAAUAUUGGUCAAUGGGCGGGAGCCUGAACCAGCCAAGCCGCGUGAGGGAUGAAGGCCCUAUGGGUCGUAAACCUCUUUUGUCAGGGAACAAAAGCGAGUAUGUAUACUAGUCUGAGUGUACCUGAAGAAAAAGCAUCGGCUAACUCCGUGCCAGCAGCCGCGGUAAUACGGAGGAUGCGAGCGUUAUCCGGAUUUAUUGGGUUUAAAGGGUGCGUAGGCGGCGGUGCAAGUCAGCGGUAAAAGCCCGGGGCUCAACCCCGGCGAGCCGUUGAAACUGCAGUGCUAGAGAAGGCGAGAGGUACGCGGAAUGCGCAGUGUAGCGGUGAAAUGCUUAGAUAUUGCGCAGAACUCCGAUUGCGAAGGCAGCGUACUGGCGCCUGACUGACGCUGAGGCACGAAAGCGUGGGGAUCGAACAGGAUUAGAUA
Molecule: ribosomal RNA, 431 nt
Filed under: uncultured bacterium
Lineage: Bacteria
Description: bacterial SSU rRNA
Rfam family: Bacterial small subunit ribosomal RNA
Source: RNAcentral